CGAUCUUGAUGUUAAGGAUUUUAUAGGUUGGCGAAUUUCGUAAUGUUGAAUGGAGUCUUGAAGAGUGGAUUGCGGAAGAUUGAAGAAAAGAUCCAAAUUGAAGAACAAAGACUCAUUCGGAAAGCUCGGCAUCUCAGGUAUGAAGAAUAGAUGAUUUAUGGUGAAGAUGUUUAAUUGUAAUAAGUUUAGAAGGCUUAGAUUGCUUUAAAUUCUUUUACUGAACUUUUAUGUGUUCUGGGACCGGUCCCUGGAUUGAAGAGACCGGUUCCCUUAAGGUCCUCACUGUGUAAAUGUUGAGGGAACUGGUCCCCUGGGAUGAGAGACCGGUUUCCGAACAUUGGAAUUUCUGUCGCGCAGCGAGGGACCGGUCUCUGGCUUGAGAGACCGGUUCCCGAACGUUGUGAUUCUUGUCACGCAGCGAGGGACCGGUCUCUCACUUGAGAGACCAGUCUCUCACAGACCGGUCUCCUCGAGAGGACCGGUCUCUAAGGACGACACCUGUUUUUAAAAAGAACUUUUUGCAAUCCUAGUAUACUUCUAAGUCUUCUAAACAUAUAAAUAAGCUAUGGGGGUCAUCUUAAAGUUUAAAGCUUUGAAUAUUUACUGAUUCUAAACCCUAGAAACUUGUUUUUCCGUUCCAAUGAUUCUACUCACAUAACAAGUUUCGAAAAAUCAACAAUCGACUUGGUUCUUUGAUUUUACUCGAGAUCUUAUUUGAGAAUCAAGUUGAUGUUUGAUUAGAAGACGGACCCUCAUAGCUUAUGGGAUUCUAAAGCUUAAUCACCACAAAUCUUCGAUUCUACAAGCUCCGGAAGGAGAUUCGGCGCGUGGAUCUCGCGUGUAGCCGAGGAUUCGGUAGACGCUUCGAGGAGUUGAGGCGUUGACGCUGCGAGGAGUUGCAGCUAGGUCGAUUGGAGGAUUCCUAUCGAUCGAGGACCGGCGAAGAUCACCAUCAACAAGAAAUCGGUAAAUUGAGUCGUGUAUUUUUGUCAAAAUCACUUGUACUCAAGUUUUCUUAGUGGAUUUUCUUCGCGUGAUCGGUCCCGUGGGUUUUUCACUCCGAAUUGGAGUUUUCCCACGUUAAAUUCUCGGUGUGCUGUUUUAUUUUCCGCUAUUUCGUUUUAUUUGCAUCGAGAUUUUUGAGUUUGCCGUUUUUACACCUAUUCACCCCCCUCUAGGUGUUACUUACCUUUUAGAUCCUCGGGAUCCAUAUCUUA
RNAcentral lists this long non-coding RNA (1217 nucleotides) under Ananas comosus (pineapple). RNAcentral describes it as "long non-coding RNA (ACOM_LNC035876)". Lineage: Eukaryota; Viridiplantae; Streptophyta; Magnoliopsida; Poales; Bromeliaceae. The record is from RNAcentral.